UAGGGAAUCUUCGGCAAUGGGGGCAACCCUGACCGAGCAACGCCGCGUGAGUGAAAAAGGUUUUCGGAUCGUAAAGCUCUGUUGUAAGAGAAGAACGUGUGUGAGAGUGGAAAGUUCACACAGUGACGGUAACUUACCAGAAAGGGACGGCUAACUACGUGCCAGCAGCCGCGGUAAUACGUAGGUCCCGAGCGUUGUCCGGAUUUAUUGGGCGUAAAGCGAGCGCAGGCGGUUUAAUAAGUCUGAAGUUAAAGGCAGUGGCUUAACCAUUGUUCGCUUUGGAAACUGUUAAACUUGAGUGCAGAAGGGGAGAGUGGAAUUCCAUGUGUAGCGGUGAAAUGCGUAGAUAUAUGGAGGAACACCGGUGGCGAAAGCGGCUCUCUGGUCUGUAACUGACGCUGAGGCUCGAAAGCGUGGGGAGCAAACAGG
RNAcentral lists this ribosomal RNA (429 nucleotides) under bacterium. RNAcentral describes it as "partial 16S ribosomal RNA". It matches the Rfam family "Bacterial small subunit ribosomal RNA", at positions 355 to 776 of the family's 1533-position model. The record is from RNAcentral.